CCUACGGGAGGCAGCAGUAGGGAAUAUUGCGCAAUGGGGGAAACCCGGAAGCAGCAACGCCGCGUGGAGGAUGAAGGUGUUCGGGUUGUAAACUCCUUUUGGUAGAGAAGAGAAUGACGGUAUCUAACGAAUAAGCACCGGCGAACGCCGUGCCAGCAGCCGCGGUAAGACGGAGGGUGCAAGCGUUCCUCGGAACCACUGGGCGUAAAGAGCGCGUAGGCGGGAUCGCAAGGCAGAUGUGAAAUCCUAUGGCUUAACCAUAGAACUGCAUUUGAAACUGUUAUUCUAGAGUAUGGGAGAGGUAGGUGUCAUUCUUUGUGUUGCGGUCACCUCCGUCGCGCUCCCGAGGCCUUCUCAUUGC
This 361-nucleotide ribosomal RNA is filed under the name uncultured bacterium. RNAcentral's name for it is "partial 16S ribosomal RNA". It matches the Rfam family "Bacterial small subunit ribosomal RNA", at positions 338 to 716 of the family's 1533-position model. The record is from RNAcentral.